This is a long non-coding RNA of Labeo rohita (rohu), 1323 nucleotides long. RefSeq lists it as uncharacterized. The record is from RefSeq and is a predicted model, not a curated record. The transcript has 5 exons. Lineage: Eukaryota; Metazoa; Chordata; Actinopteri; Cypriniformes; Cyprinidae.
UCUCGAAUCGCUAUCGCGGUACUUUGAUGGCACACGUGACAGUCACGAGGCGUCGGCGCCGCCUCAAGUCGGACAAAAUUUCUAACCGGCAUGCACUGCUUCAAGUCAGAAUUUGAUCGAGCUGCGCAGCGCUGCGUUAAGUCGAACACACCUUUUUAGUCGGACGUGCUCUUUAGUCGGUUGUGCGUCUUACGUCAUCAACCCAGAACUAAAGUUCGAAUCAGUUCGACUCCUUCAAGAAUCGAACGUCACCAAACAAACUAUCGUUCCCGUCUCCCCUGGGCGAUGAGGAAACUUUGGGGCCAAAGCAACUGCUGGCGUUUGAAGCCGUCGGGCCCUCGUUCCCAUCGCCGGGCUUCAAAGCGGAUCUCGCCACAGAUGCACCGUUAACCUGGAGAUUUAAACAAGGAGUGUUUCUCCUCUUCUGCUCUACAUGAUCUGCUCAUGGAUUACUAUGUCGGUGGAGAUCCACAGACUCGAUUAUGUGCACAGAAACGACACAAGGGAGAGUCAGUGAUGACAGAAUUUUCAUUAUUUGUGAAGCACACAAUCUCAUUCUUUGCUUCAGAGUCUCCGGAGGAAGUCUUUCAGUCGCCCUUCACCUCGCUGUGGGUCCCGAUCAGCCCGCGUGUCGUCUGUCAAAUCUCCACGCGGGAGAAGAAAAAGACUCGGAAUGAGGGAGCGCCGCAUCCGAAUCCAUUCCCCGGGUAAUUCAUCUCCUGCUGCGUAAAAGAAAAAUGAGUGGAAAGAAAGUAAAUACGCUCCAUUCAGAGACAGAUGCAUCAUGGGAUGCGUGUUGUCUUCCUCUCCACUGCCUCAAUCAUCUGAACAGAAACCAUCCCGCACCCUAGACGCCCCGAUCAGAGGGAAUACAAUGAAAUAACGACAUUGGCCGUGACAUUUCGCUGUGAUUUUCAGAGGGAUAUUUAAUUGUGUUCAUCACGUAGAGCCGACGGGAGCGAAAGAUGCAGAUUCUGACCGGGAAGAAGCCAUUAGUCAAAUUACACACACCGUCUAGGUCUUUACAAAAAGCCAAUAUCUGACACCGGCCUCUUUUAUUGCAGAAAAAUGAUGGCAAUUCUAGCGUGACACAUUCAUUUCUUUGGUUCAGAUGGGCUGUAUAAAGGGGUUAGAGGAGGAAUUUCUUUGUCAUCGCAGAACAAAGCGAAAACAGACACAGCAGCAAUAAGGAAAUAUGAUAUUUUGUAAGAGGGAGUUUAACUAUAUGAUCACAGUGCCAUAUGGUUAGUUUAUAAGUCAAGUACUGAAUAUACAGCCUACACACACUGAAGGAAGGUCAUGGGAUCAAUAGUUGAGUUUUUG